GGGAGAGAGACUGUGCAGGACUGCAGUUUGUAAGCAAUAAACAGCUUGGGAGUUAAUAUCCCAGAAGAGAGACCCUCUUUGGCAGAGUUUACAUCAAAAAUCAAGCCCUUAUCUGCAAGAUGUGGAGGAUAGAUGUGGCAGAUGGAGUUUCUGGGGAUUCCUUCAGCUUCCAUGGUGGUGGACAGGGCUUGACAGCAGACUGGACCCCAUGCAGAGCUGUAAUGGAGACACUGAAUUCUCCAAGGGGAACUCAGGGGGAGGU
Long non-coding RNA from Manis pentadactyla (Chinese pangolin), 262 nucleotides. RefSeq lists it as uncharacterized. The record is from RefSeq and is a predicted model, not a curated record. NCBI's taxonomy places the organism in Eukaryota, Metazoa, Chordata, Mammalia, Pholidota, Manidae. The transcript has 3 exons.